AUUGAACGCUGGCGGCAGGCCUAACACAUGCAAGUCGAACGGUAACAGGAAGAAGCUUGCUUCUUUGCUGACGAGUGGCGGACGGGUGAGUAAUGUCUGGGAAACUGCCUGAUGGAGGGGGAUAACUACUGGAAACGGUAGCUAAUACCGCAUAACGUCGCAAGACCAAAGAGGGGGACCUUCGGGCCUCUUGCCAUCGGAUGUGCCCAGAUGGGAUUAGCUAGUAGGUGGGGUAACGGCUCACCUAGGCGACGAUCCCUAGCUGGUCUGAGAGGAUGACCAGCCACACUGGAACUGAGACACGGUCCAGACUCCUACGGGAGGCAGCAGUGGGGAAUAUUGCACAAUGGGCGCAAGCCUGAUGCAGCCAUGCCGCGUGUAUGAAGAAGGCCUUCGGGUUGUAAAGUACUUUCAGCGGGGAGGAAGGGAGUAAAGUUAAUACCUUUGCUCAUGGACGUACCCGCA
This 465-nucleotide ribosomal RNA is filed under the name Escherichia coli. RNAcentral's name for it is "bacterial SSU rRNA". It matches the Rfam family "Bacterial small subunit ribosomal RNA", at positions 30 to 483 of the family's 1533-position model. The record is from RNAcentral. Lineage: Bacteria; Pseudomonadati; Pseudomonadota; Gammaproteobacteria; Enterobacterales; Enterobacteriaceae.